AAAGAGAUCAGAAUACGUGAAGAGGGAUUGAACUGCCUUGAACGUUGAGAGAGGGUUUCAUUUUAGAGAUAAAAUGAAACCCUCAUGAAAGCUUUUUAUCUCUAAAUGAAAGCUUUUUAUCUCUAAAAUGAAACCCAUUCAUGAAAGCUUUUUAUCUCUAAAAUGAAACCCUCUCUCAACGUUCAAGGCAGUUCAAUCCCUCUUCACGUAUUCUGAUCUCUUUUU
Molecule: microRNA precursor, 225 nt
Filed under: Paramuricea clavata
Lineage: Eukaryota; Metazoa; Cnidaria; Anthozoa; Malacalcyonacea; Plexauridae
Source: RNAcentral